Molecule: ribosomal RNA, 778 nt
Filed under: uncultured Bacillota bacterium
Lineage: Bacteria; Bacillati; Bacillota
Description: bacterial SSU rRNA
Rfam family: Bacterial small subunit ribosomal RNA
Source: RNAcentral
CAGAAUAAAAUGCUUGCCUCGGAAGAUAGAUACUUCUCAGUGGCGAACGGGUGAGUAACACGUAGGUAACCUGCCCAUGUGCCCGGGAUAAUUUCUGGAAACGGAAACUAAAACCGGAUAGGUAAUAGAGAAGCAUUUCUGUAUUAUUAAAGAAGCCUCAAAGCUUUGAACAUGGAUGGACCUGCGGUGCAUUAGCUAGUUGGUAAGGUAACGGCCUACCAAGGCGACGAUGCAUAGCCGACCUGAGAGGGCGAACGGCCACAUUGGGACUGAGACACGGCCCAAACUCCUACGGGAGGCAGCAGUAGGGAAUUUUCGUCAAUGGGGGGAACCCUGAACGAGCAAUGCCGCGUGAGUGAAGACGGUCUUCGGAUUGUAAAGCUCUGUUGUGAGAGAAAAAGGAUAUAUAUAGGAAAUGAUAUGUAUUUGAUGGUAUCUCACCAGAAAGUCACGGCUAACUACGUGCCAGCAGCCGCGGUAAUACGUAGGUGGCGAGCGUUAUCCGGAAUGAUUGGGCGUAAAGGGUACGUAGGCGGCAUGAUAAGUCUGGAGUGAAAGGCUACAGCUCAACUGUAGUAUGCUCUGGAAACUGUCAAGCUAGAGUGCAGAAGAGGGCAAUGGAACUCCAUGUGUAGCGGUAAAAUGCGUAGAUAUAUGGAAGAACACCGGUGGCGAAGGCGGUUGCCUGGUCUGAAACUGACGCUGAAGUACGAAAGCGUGGGGAGCAAAUAGGAUUAGAUACCCUAGUAGUCCACGCCGUAACCGAUGUGAAAUAGGU